UACGUAGGGGGCUAGCGUUGUCCGGAAUCAUUGGGCGUAAAGCGCGUGUAGGCGGUUCGGUAAGUCCGCUGUGAAAGUCGGGGGCUCAACCCUCGGAUGCCGGUGGAUACUGUCGGGCUAGAGUACGGAAGAGGCGAGUGGAAUUCCUGGUGUAGCGGUGAAAUGCGCAGAUAUCAGGAGGAACACCAAUUGCGAAGGCAGCUCGCUGGGACGUUACUGACGCUGAGACGCGAAAGCGUGGGGAGCAAACAGG
Molecule: ribosomal RNA, 253 nt
Filed under: uncultured bacterium
Lineage: Bacteria
Description: partial 16S ribosomal RNA
Rfam family: Bacterial small subunit ribosomal RNA
Source: RNAcentral